This 122-nucleotide non-coding RNA is filed under the name Roseovarius albus. RNAcentral describes it as "TPP sequence". It matches the Rfam family "TPP riboswitch aptamer (THI element)". From Rfam's summary of the family: Vitamin B(1) in its active form thiamin pyrophosphate (TPP) is an essential coenzyme that is synthesised by coupling of pyrimidine and thiazole moieties in bacteria. The previously detected thiamin-regulatory element, thi box was extended, resulting in a new, highly conserved RNA secondary structure, the THI element, which is widely distributed in eubacteria and also occurs in some archaea. Analysis of operon structures identified a large number of new candidate thiamin-regulated genes, mostly transporters, in various prokaryotic organisms. Lineage: Bacteria; Pseudomonadati; Pseudomonadota; Alphaproteobacteria; Rhodobacterales; Roseobacteraceae. The record is from Rfam by way of RNAcentral.
AAGAACACGCAGGGGAGUUCCAACCGAGGAACUGAGAGGCGAAUAGCAGCAUGUCUGCAGUGUCGCGACCCUUUGAACCUGACCCAGUUGAUACUGGCGUAGGAAGCUAGGAUCGCGUCGCU